Molecule: ribosomal RNA, 364 nt
Filed under: uncultured bacterium
Lineage: Bacteria
Description: bacterial SSU rRNA
Rfam family: Bacterial small subunit ribosomal RNA
Source: RNAcentral
AACGAACGCUGGCGGCGUGCCUAACACAUGCAAGUCGAGCGGGAAAGUUCCCUUCGGGAGCGAGUACAGCGCGAACGGGUGAGUAACACGUAGGUAACCUACCCUGGGGUCCGGGAUAACCUGUCGAAAGACGGGCUAAUACCGGAUAAGACCACGAGAGCCUCGGCUUUUGAGGUAAAAGAUGGCCUCUGCUUGCAUGCUAUCACCCCGAGAUGGGCCUGCGCGCCAUUAGCUAGUUGGNGAGGUAAUGGCUCACCAAGGCGAAGAUGGCUAGCUGGUCUGAGAGGAUGAUCAGCCACACUGGGACUGAGACACGGCCCAGACUCCGUACGGGAGCAGCAGUGGGGAAUAUUGCGCAAGUGGG